RNAcentral lists this ribosomal RNA (408 nucleotides) under Triticum aestivum (bread wheat). Its description in RNAcentral is "partial small subunit ribosomal RNA". The record is from RNAcentral. Lineage: Eukaryota; Viridiplantae; Streptophyta; Magnoliopsida; Poales; Poaceae.
AUGGUGCCCUGCUGCCAAAGAAGGACCUCCACCGGUUCCUCAAGUGGGCCAAGGUCGUGCGCAUCCAAUGCCAGCGCCGCAUCCUCAAAUAGCGCCUCAAGGUGCCCCUGGCGCUCCAUGAGUUCACUCGCACCCUCGACAAGAACCUUAAGGCCACAGUUGCCCAGGUUCUACUACGAGAAGAGGUCUGCAGUCCAGAACAGAACUGGCAAGGAUGAUAGCAACCCCAAGAUCCAACCGCCCAGCUCGCCCAUGAGCGGACAGAGCCUUUCAACCUCUGCCAUCCCCACCUAUCAUGCUGGAGUUCCUAGGUCGAAGAAAUUCGAAGAAGCUCGAAGCCCCUGUCAGCCACUUGCUUUAUAUGUUAUUGAACUUGUAAUGCAGAAUUUUCUUGGAAUUUUGAUGUAA